This 162-nucleotide small RNA is filed under the name bovine gut metagenome. RNAcentral's name for it is "Clostridiales-1 RNA". It matches the Rfam family "Clostridiales-1 RNA". The record is from RNAcentral. RNAcentral also lists the same sequence under 1 other name.
GAUAUCAGGGUCAAGAAGUAAAAAAACGAUGCAAGCUUGCUUGCAAGAGUUUUUUAAUUUUUGACCCGCCAAAACAUGAGUAAGUAGCCAUUUUUCAAAGAAAAAUGAGCGGAUUACGAAUGUUUUGCGGAUUGCGGGAGUGCGAAGCACGUAGCAAUCUGA